AUAAUGGAUGCAUGAAAUCAUAUAGCAAAUUCUUCCAUAAAAUAAUUAUAUGCCAAUUUCGCUAUGCAUUUCAGAAAAGUGUGCAAAAAAUGUCCUGAUUUAUUGAAAUAUGUUUGCAGCACAUUCUUGACCAGGUGAAGGAGAAGAUUGUUUGUGCUUGGACCGAUCAGGUUUGACACCUUGAAAAUACAAAAACUAACCGAGUUGAAUUUUCCCAUGCUACAUUGAAGAAUUGGUUGGAAAAUAAUAAGGGCAAUACGUGGAAAGAUCGGACUCCGAGGAUUCUAGUCCUCUUUGUAGAGCCGCUUUCGGAAUCCUGUGUCUCACGGCGAAGCAAUGGUGGAACGGCGGGUUCAAGACGAAUUCGAUCUCCAAUCACGAAAACACGAACGCGUGCAUAGUUGGAAUAGAAACUGGAAGCAGAUGGUGAAUACUCACCGAAACAAAAUCAGUAUUGAUUGCUUCUUCUUCUUCCGUGUGUGCAAACGCUGAUUGUGAAACUGCGUGCGUAUGAAUUCAUGAUUGUUGAUGCGAUUUUCCGCUUGCGUGAGGUUCUUCUUGUUCUGUUGAAUGGUUCCCGUUCAUGAACAUGGCCGAAAAUGGAUCUCGUUUUUGUCUCGAACACCAAAGGCCAACCGAAUAUGAAAUCGCCGUUACUCAGAUUCCUCUUCGGUUUCGACAAAUUGAUAUCCUCCUCAACCUCGACCUCCCUAACCAAGUUAAACACAAUCUUUGCGUGGAAAGCGAUAUCGUGUUGUGGUGUCAAGAUUCAAACUGCGGAACUGAAACUGCCAGCUACAGAAUGGAAAACUUGCCCUGCAGAGCAAAGCUUCUUGGUUGCAGAAAGAACAAUUUCAGGUGCAGGAGGAAGGUUCAGUUGCAGAGUCGUCACAUAAGGAUUGUGGAAGAUGAAAUGAUGAAAAUGAGACUAGGAGAGGAUGAAGAAUGCGGAAUCGGUCUGGAAUUUUCAAGGUUGAAAACAGAAUCAAGAGUGAAGAAUCGAAGAAAGGAAGAAUGAAGAUUGAAGUGAAGAAUGAAGAUUUUUUCUUCUGAAUUACAAUCAGGAUGCAGGGAAUACUAGAGAGGAAUCGUGCAGAUUUAUGCAGAGAGAGAUGCGCCAAGCCUUGUUUAAUGUUGCAGCUGACCUUGAUUAGGAAUUGUUUUAUAGAAAAGUUAUGAGAUAAAUUGUAUUGAAUUACUGAGAGGUUUUGGGAAUUGGCUAAUAAUGGAAAUAAUGGAUUUCCUAGUCACGAAUUUAAAAUGGAUUUGAAGACUAUUUUGAAAUGGUUUUAUAAAAUGCUCUUGAAGGUUAAUGGAUUUGAAAUCGAUUUA
Molecule: long non-coding RNA, 1332 nt
Organism: Lathyrus oleraceus (garden pea)
Lineage: Eukaryota; Viridiplantae; Streptophyta; Magnoliopsida; Fabales; Fabaceae
Exons: 3
Source: RefSeq, a predicted model, not a curated record